Molecule: ribosomal RNA, 297 nt
Filed under: Triticum aestivum (bread wheat)
Lineage: Eukaryota; Viridiplantae; Streptophyta; Magnoliopsida; Poales; Poaceae
Description: partial small subunit ribosomal RNA
Source: RNAcentral
AUGUUGAUAAGCGAGGGUGCAAGGCUCAAGGGAAGCCGGUUCUCUAACUCUCUGUAUGCUUAUGGUAUCUUGGAUGAGGGUUACAAAUUCAACGUGUUAGUUGAGGAAGCUACUGAGUUAUCAUGGCGGGCCUUUAUCACGCAACAUUCCGUGAUGGAGCCAGUGGUGGUUGUAUUCGUAUUGGUAUGCAUUCUAUUUCGUGGUAUCUAUCCUAAUAUUUGUUUUGUUCAGUCGAUAAGCAUGAUACAACAUGCAUGCAUAUUUGUUAAACACCUUAUCAUUAUAUCUUCCUUUUGA